RNAcentral lists this ribosomal RNA (490 nucleotides) under uncultured bacterium. RNAcentral's name for it is "bacterial SSU rRNA". It matches the Rfam family "Bacterial small subunit ribosomal RNA", at positions 1 to 507 of the family's 1533-position model. The record is from RNAcentral.
AGUAGUUGAUCAGUCGGCUCAGGACGAACGCUGGCGGCGUGGCUUAACACAUGCAAGUCGAACGGUGAGGAGGAGCUUGCUCCUCCGAUCAGUGGCGAACGGGUGAGUAACACGUGAGUAACCUGCCCCAGACCCUGGGAUAACAGUUGGAAACAGCUGCUAAUACCGGAUACGAGACGGAGAGGCAUCUCUACCGUCUGGAAAGAUUUAUCGGUCUGGGAUGGACUCGCGGCCUAUCAGCUUGUUGGUGAGGUAAAGGCUCACCAAGGCGACGACGGGUAGCCGGCCUGAGAGGGCGACCGGCCACACUGGGACUGAGACACGGCCCAGACUCCUACGGGAGGCAGCAGUGGGGAAUGUUGCACAAUGGGCGAAAGCCUGAUGCAGCGACGCCGCGUGAGGGAUGACGGCCUUCGGGUUGUAAACCUCUUUCAGCAGGGAAGAAGCGAAAGUGACGGUACCUGCAGAAGAAGCACCGGCUAACUACGUG